This 382-nucleotide long non-coding RNA is filed under the name Ananas comosus (pineapple). RNAcentral describes it as "long non-coding RNA (ACOM_LNC019210)". The record is from RNAcentral. Lineage: Eukaryota; Viridiplantae; Streptophyta; Magnoliopsida; Poales; Bromeliaceae.
CUACAUAAAAUAUAGGGAAAACUUCAAAAACCCCCCCUGUGGUUUCGUGCAUUCUCACUUUGCUACCCUGUGGUUUAAAAUGUAUCAAUUUGCCCCCCUGUGGUUUCGUUUUUAUCUUUUUGUUAUCAAUUUUAUUAUUAUUUUUUUUUAAAAUCAGUGACAAAGUUAAAAUUAAAGGAUACUAAAGUGACUAUUUGAUAAAUAUAGAUGGUUAUCUGAAAUUUUUUGUAUAUAAUUUAACGAAAUAUUAACGAAAAAGCUUCCGAAAAGAUAAAAAUGAAACCACAGGGGGGUAAAUUGAUACGUUUUAAACCACAUGGUAGCAAAGUGAGAAUGCACGAAACCACAGGGGGGGUUUUUGAAGUUUUCCCUAAAAUAUAAA